This 460-nucleotide ribosomal RNA is filed under the name uncultured bacterium. RNAcentral describes it as "partial 16S ribosomal RNA". It matches the Rfam family "Bacterial small subunit ribosomal RNA", at positions 338 to 795 of the family's 1533-position model. The record is from RNAcentral.
CCUACGGGAGGCAGCAGUGAGGAAUAUUGGUCAAUGGACGAGAGUCUGAACCAGCCAAGUAGCGUGAAGGAUGACUGCCCUAUGGGUUGUAAACUUCUUUUAUAUGGGAAUAAACUGUUCCACGUGUGGGUUUUUGUAUGUACCAUAUGAAUAAGGAUCGGCUAACUCCGUGCCAGCAGCCGCGGUAAUACGGAGGAUCCGAGCGUUAUCCGGAUUUAUUGGGUUUAAAGGGUGCGUAGGUGGAUUGUUAAGUCAGUUGUGAAAGUUUGCGGCUCAACCGUAAAAUUGCAGUUGAAACUGGCAGUCUUGAGUACAGUAGAGGUAGGCGGAAUUCGUGGUGUAGCGGUGAAAUGCUUAGAUAUCACGAAGAACUCCGAUUGCGAAGGCAGCUCACUGGACUGCAACUGACACUGAGGCUCGAAAGUGUGGGUAUCAAACAGGAUUAGAUACCCCAGUAGUC